RNAcentral lists this long non-coding RNA (573 nucleotides) under Androctonus crassicauda. The record is from RNAcentral. Lineage: Eukaryota; Metazoa; Arthropoda; Arachnida; Scorpiones; Buthidae.
AUGAAUAUGUCACUAAAAGAGUUUGGAAAUCUUUUUGAUGGAAUAUUACAUGAUAUAAUUGUUAAGUAUCAUUUAGCAAUUUCAUUGCAUAAUUCAAAGAUUACAUUAGAUAACGGAAUACAAAUUAAUUUUGACAAGGAAAAAUACGACAAUGCUGCUAUAAAAAGAACUGUCUGGAAAAAUUUUUCAGGAGGUAUAGGAAAUAUAAAUAAAGGCAGGGCCACAAACAGAUUUCCAGUUCAAUUGCUGUCAUGAUGAUGCUAAGACAGUUUAUUUAAUAGAAGACAAAGUUAUUCCACCCCUAUCCGAGGUUAUUACAGUAGCGAAAGUCAUGGGAAUUAGACAGAAAAAUCAGAUAGGCGUGAUAGAAUCAGAAAAUUUAGAUGAAUCUGACCUAAUCACAAUGGAUGUGCUAGUUAAAACUAAAUCAAAAGGUACAGUUCUCAUUAGAAUCAUAAAUAUUACGACUAAUUCAGUAAAAUUAAAUAAAUGAGAAUUGGUAGGAAAGUUCGUACAGGCAGCGGAAGAGUCAAAGGAAAAAACCAAGAGCGACAAGCCAAUAAGGACUGACGC